RNAcentral lists this ribosomal RNA (267 nucleotides) under uncultured bacterium. Its description in RNAcentral is "partial 16S ribosomal RNA". It matches the Rfam family "Bacterial small subunit ribosomal RNA", at positions 793 to 1055 of the family's 1533-position model. The record is from RNAcentral.
GUCCUGGCUGUAAACGGUGCACGUUUGCUGUAAAAGGAAUCGACCCCUUUUGUGGCGAAGCUAACGCGAUAAACGUGCCGCCUGGUGAGUACGGUCGCAAGAUUAAAACUCAAAGAAAUUGACGGGGGCCUGCACAAGCGGUGGAGUAUGUGGCUUAAUUCGAUGCAACGCGAAGAACCUUACCUGGCCUUGACAUGCACGUAGUAGGAGCCUGAAAGGGUAACGACCCCGCAAGGGGAGCGUGCACAGGUGCUGCAUGGCUGUCGU